AACUGCUCCAGGCAAUAGAAGAUUCUUUGACCCAGAUUUUUAUAGGAUUAUUUUGUUUGAUCAGCGAGGUGCAGGGAAAAGUACCCCACAUGCUUGCUUGGAGGAUAAUACCACGUGGAACCUCAUUGAUGACAUUGAGAAGCUAAGGGAACACUUGGAAAUUCCAGAGUGGCAGGUCUUUGGAGGUUCCUGGGGAAGUACGUUGGCUCUUGCUUAUAGUCAAUCUCAUCCUGAAAAGGUUACGGGAUUAGUUCUUAGAGGGAUCUUUCUUCUGCGGAAAAAA
RNAcentral lists this unclassified non-coding RNA (283 nucleotides) under Hevea brasiliensis (rubber tree). The record is from RNAcentral. Lineage: Eukaryota; Viridiplantae; Streptophyta; Magnoliopsida; Malpighiales; Euphorbiaceae.